UUUUGAAGCGCUGGCAUUUUCUCUCUCAGCAGCCCCAUCACUGAUGACUAACAGUUCCUGAUGAAGCAUCAACUGGACUGCCUGUUUUUUUUCUUUUUUCAAGAAUUUUUUUGCAUGACGUUGGACAUUUCACAUCUGGAGACCUUGUGUCGGAAUUUGUGACGUGACUCACAUUGACCUCGACAGCCCUGUUUGGGUCCUUAGAGAAACCCACGGGGACCUCAGCACUGGGGUUUCAGGAGUGAGGAGCAGGGAGGAUGGACGAGGUUGUCUCAGACUGGCCACUUUCCAAGGGGUAAACUUGCUCUAUCCACAGUGUAACCCAGUGUCCAUGGGGAGCCUGGGACUGCCCAGUGGAGCAACCUG
Long non-coding RNA from Myiozetetes cayanensis, 366 nucleotides. RefSeq lists it as uncharacterized. The transcript has 3 exons. Lineage: Eukaryota; Metazoa; Chordata; Aves; Passeriformes; Tyrannidae. The record is from RefSeq and is a predicted model, not a curated record.